CUAGGCGGCGAGUUGUAGCCUCGUACAGGGGGAAAAAUAGGGGUCCUCUGCUACC
RNAcentral lists this transfer RNA (55 nucleotides) under Hemiphyllodactylus serpispecus. RNAcentral's name for it is "partial tRNA-Tyr". The record is from RNAcentral. Lineage: Eukaryota; Metazoa; Chordata; Lepidosauria; Squamata; Gekkonidae.